Molecule: ribosomal RNA, 407 nt
Filed under: Stutzerimonas stutzeri
Lineage: Bacteria; Pseudomonadati; Pseudomonadota; Gammaproteobacteria; Pseudomonadales; Pseudomonadaceae
Description: bacterial SSU rRNA
Rfam family: Bacterial small subunit ribosomal RNA
Source: RNAcentral
UGAGGUAAUGGCUCACCAAGGCUGCGAUCCGUAACUGGUCUGAGAGGAUGAUCAGUCACACUGGAACUGAGACACGGUCCAGACUCCUACGGGAGGCAGCAGUGGGGAAUAUUGGACAAUGGGCGAAAGCCUGAUCCAGCCAUGCCGCGUGUGUGAAGAAGGUCUUCGGAUUGUAAAGCACUUUAAGUUGGGAGGAAGGGCAGUAAGUUAAUACCUUGCUGUUUUGACGUUACCGACAGAAUAAGCACCGGCUAACUUCGUGCCAGCAGCCGCGGUAAUACGAAGGGUGCAAGCGUUAAUCGGAAUUACUGGGCGUAAAGCGCGCGUAGGUGGUUUGUUAAGUUGGAAGUGAAAGCCCCGGGCUCAACCUGGGAACUGCUUUCAAAACUGGCAAGCUAGAGUAUGGC